AUAUUUCUUGAUAACGCCAUGUGAGUCGUUUGAACUGAAAUAGUGUUAUCGACGGUCUUCGACGGGGAUAAGCUUAUUGGUUCUAUCAGUGUGCACAAGAACAUCGGGAUUUUGGAUUUCGAAGCAUCAAAUUUAUUUUACCAUGGUGGUUUUGGCCGAGUCUGGAACCAUGGUUUAUUGGCAAAUAUCAUUGAAGAGGAGGUUUAUGUUCUAGUCAUUGAUGAGGU
This is a long non-coding RNA of Hibiscus syriacus, 227 nucleotides long. RefSeq lists it as uncharacterized. NCBI's taxonomy places the organism in Eukaryota, Viridiplantae, Streptophyta, Magnoliopsida, Malvales, Malvaceae. The transcript is spliced from 4 exons. The record is from RefSeq and is a predicted model, not a curated record.